Molecule: unclassified non-coding RNA, 231 nt
Filed under: Hevea brasiliensis (rubber tree)
Lineage: Eukaryota; Viridiplantae; Streptophyta; Magnoliopsida; Malpighiales; Euphorbiaceae
Source: RNAcentral
AAAGAACUCAACUCCGAAGAGUUGAACUGCAAAUAAUUGAAAUGUCUCUUCAGUAAUCCAAGUAGCAUCCGAAUCGAAACGACCAUGCCACUUGACAAGAAAUCUGUAACAACCACCUUGAGAGGAAUUAAUAAACUAAUCAUCUAACACAGCUUCAAGAUGAUGCUGGUGAUGCGUUGUUAUGGACAGUAGUAAGGGCUUAUGGAACAGCAGGGAAACAUGAGAAAGAAA